UAACAGCCUCAGAAAUUGCAGCCCAAAUAAAUGCUUCACAGAGUUCAAGUAACAGACACACCUCAACAUCAACUGUUCAGAGGAGAUUGCGUGAAUCAGGCCUUCAUGGUCGAAUUGCUGCAAAGAAACCACUACUAAAGGACACCAAUAAGAAGAAGAGACUUGCUUGGGCCAAGAAACAUGAGUAAUUGACAUUAGACCGGUGGAAAUCUGUCCUUUGGAUCCAACCGCUGUGUCUUCGUGAGAAGCAGAGACCUGAGCCCUAGGACCAUGCCUCAGGACUACCUGGCCUGAUGACUCCUUGUUGUCCCCAGUCCACCUGGUUGUGCUGCUGCUCCAGUUUCAACUGUUCUGCCUGCGGCUAUGGAACCCUGACCUGUUUAUUGGAUGUACUACCUGUCACAGACCUGCUGUUUUCAACUCUCUAGAGACAGCAGGAGCAGUAGAGAUACUCUGAAUGAUCGGCUAUGAAAAGCCAACUGACAUUUUUCCUGAGGUGCGGACUAUGAUUAUUAUUAUUUGACCCUGCUUGUCAUCUAUGAACAUUUAAACAUCUUGGCCAUGUUCUGUUGUAAUCUCCACCCGGCAUGGCCAGAAGAGGACUGGCCACCCCUCAUAGCCUGGUUCCUCUCUAGGUUUCUUCCUAGAUUCUGGACUUUCUAGGGAGUUUUUCCUAACCACUGUGUUUCAGCUGCAAUGCUUGCUGUUUGGAGUUGUAGACUGGGUUUCUGUACAGAACUUUGUGACAUCAGCUGAUGUAAGAAGGGCUUUAUCAAUACAUUUGCUUGAUUGAGGAUAAGGCACAGCAUUUCAGUGCUAGAGGCAUCACUACAGACCCUGGUUCGAUCCCGGGCUGUAUCACAACCAGCCGUGAUCGGGAGUCUCAUAGGGAGGCGCACAAUUCGCCCAGCAUAGUCCGGGUUAGGGUUUGGCCAGAGUAGGCCUUCAUUGUAAAAUAAGAAUUUGUACUUAACUAACUUGCCUAGUUAAAUUAAAAAUACAUUUAAAAAAUAGUUUAAUUUAGUUUUUGUCAACUUUUACUUUCCUACAUUCCUAAAGAAUAUAAUGUACUUUUCACUGCAUACAUUUUCCCUGACACCCAAAAAGUAUUCAUUACAUUUUGAAUGCUUGGCAGGGUAGGGACAUUGUUAAAUUCACACCCUUAUUAAGAGAACAUCCCUGGUCAUCCCUACUGCCUCUGAUCUGGCAGACUCAGUAAACACAAAUGCUUCAUUUGUAAAUUGUGUCUGGCUAUCCGUAAAAAAACAAUAAACAAGGAUUUAGAAAUUAUUUUCCCUUUUACGUUUGAUACUUAAGUAUAGUUUAGCAAUUACAUUUACUUUUGAUACUUAAGAAUAUUUAAAAUACUACUCAAGUAGUAUUUUACUGGGUGACUUUCACUUUUACUUGAGUCAUUUUCUAUUAAGGUAUCUUUACUUUUACUCAAUUAUGACAAUUAGGUAUUUUUCCCACCACUGCAACAACAGACCACGUGUAACCAAGCCAGGACCUCCACAUCCGGCUUCUUCACCUGCGGGAUCGUCUGAGCAGCUGAAAUGACAGAACACUAUGUGCAUUUACCUCUGUUUCUAACAUUCAGGAGGUGCUCAUAGUUGACCCAUGUUGCAUUGGUUUGUGAGCUUGAGUGGCUGUACUAAAGCACUAGCCUAUGUCAAUCCCCCAUAGUACAAAACUUACUAAUAAAUAUUCCAAACAUACUCUGGACAGUUUAGCUUAAAAUGUUGAUAAACUAUUAGGCUAUUUCUUCACGUUAUAAGCACAGCAAUGCGCACACGGCAGUAGGCUAUACGCGUGAAUGUUUCAAAAUGUAAUCAAUUAGGGGGAAAACACUCAAAAGUGAAGGCAAAUGCGAUUAUGCAUGCAAUGCAUAUUUAUGGUGAAAUGAUCUUCCCCAAACUUGAAACUGCCUACAGUAUGUAUGUUAGGCUCUACAGUGGUUAUAAAGCGGAUUAAUGUGCUUCAUUUAUAGGAAUUAUUUGGCCACUUUAGUUGUGAUACAAACCUUAAGAAAACAUAUAUACUAUGGGCUAGGCUACAUGAGGUGUGCAACUAUGAUUUGAAAAAGUCGCAACAACAGGCAUGUGCUAUUCCUUCCCUUACUGCACAAGCUGAGUAUCAUCAAGGAAAAUGGUAUCUACUUUGGUAUAAUUUAAAAUAUAUUUUGAUUUGUUUAACACUUUUUUGGUUCCUACUUGAUUCCACGUG
Oncorhynchus tshawytscha (Chinook salmon) is the source of this 2226-nucleotide long non-coding RNA. NCBI's taxonomy places the organism in Eukaryota, Metazoa, Chordata, Actinopteri, Salmoniformes, Salmonidae. The record is from Ensembl.